This 321-nucleotide ribosomal RNA is filed under the name uncultured Prevotella sp. Its description in RNAcentral is "partial 16S ribosomal RNA". The record is from RNAcentral. Lineage: Bacteria; Pseudomonadati; Bacteroidota; Bacteroidia; Bacteroidales; Prevotellaceae.
GGAGUUUGGACCGUGUCUCAGUUCCAAUGUGGGGGACCUUCCUCUCAGAACCCCUACUGAUCGUCGGCCAGGUGGGCCGUUACCCCGCCUGCAACCUAAUCAGACGCAUCCCCAUCCCAUAGCGAUGAAUCUUUCGUCCAGGUCAGAUGUCCUCUCUGGAAAACAUAGAGUAUUAAUCCCGACUUUCGCCGGGCUAUCCUCUACUAUAGGGAAGGUUGGAUACGCGUUACUCACCCGUGCGCCGGUCGCCAUCAAUCAAAGCAAGCUUCGAUCAUGCUGCCCCUCGACUUGCAUGUGUUAAGCCUGUAGCUAGCGUUCAUC